GGGGGCCCGCACAAGCGGAGGAACAUGUGGUUUAAUUCGAUGAUACGCGAGGAACCUUACCCGGGAUUGAAAUGUAGAUGACGGAUGGUGAAAACCGUCUUCCCUUCGGGGCUUCUAUGUAGGUGCUGCAUGGUUGUCGUCAGCUCGUGCCGUGAGGUGUCGGCUUAAGUGCCAUAACGAGCGCAACCCACAUCGGUAGUUGCUAACAGUUUUCGCUGAGGACUCUACCGAGACUGCUGUCGUAAGGCGCGAGGAAGGUGUGGAUGACGUCAAAUCAGCACGGCCCUUACAUCCGGGGCGACACACGUGUUACAAUGGGAGGGACAAAGGGCAGCUACCGGGCGACCGGAUGCGAAUCUCUAAACCCUUCCCCAGUUCGGAUCGGAGUCUGCAACUCGACUCCGUGAAGCUGGAUUCGCUAGUAAUCGCGCAUCAGCCAUGGCGCGGUGAAUACGUUCCCGGGCCUUGUACACACCGCCCGUCAAGCCAUGGGAGUCGGGGGUACCUGAAGGGCGUAACCGCAAGGGGCGCACUAGGGUAAUACCGGUGACUGGGGCUAAGUCGUAACAAGGUAGCCG
This 578-nucleotide ribosomal RNA is filed under the name uncultured bacterium. RNAcentral describes it as "bacterial SSU rRNA". It matches the Rfam family "Bacterial small subunit ribosomal RNA", at positions 915 to 1502 of the family's 1533-position model. The record is from RNAcentral.